CCCUGGCUCAGGACGAACGCUGGCGGCAUGCCUAAUACAUGCAAGUCGAGCGGAGUUCUGUUGAAAGCUUGCUUUCAACAGGAUUUAGCGGCGGACGGGUGAGUAACACGUAGGCAACCUGCCCCAUAGCCUGGGAUAACUACCGGAAACGGUAGCUAAUACCGGAUAAUUCCUUUUCCCACCUGGGAAGAGGAUGAAAGACGGAGCAAUCUGUCGCUGAGGGAUGGGCCUGCGGCGCAUUAGCUAGUUGGUGGGGUAACGGCUCACCAAGGCGACGAUGCGUAGCCGACCUGAGAGGGUGAACGGCCACACUGGGACUGAGACACGGCCCAGACUCCUACGGGAGGCAGCAGUAGGGAAUCUUCCGCAAUGGGCGCAAGCCUGACGGAGCAAUGCCGCGUGAGUGAUGAAGGUUUUCGGAUCGUAAAGCUCUGUUGCCAGGGAAGAACGUCUUAUAGAGUAACUGCUAUAAGAGUGACGGUACCUGAGAAGAAAGCCCCGGCUAACUA
Molecule: ribosomal RNA, 509 nt
Filed under: Paenibacillaceae bacterium CL5.27
Lineage: Bacteria; Bacillati; Bacillota; Bacilli; Caryophanales; Paenibacillaceae
Description: bacterial SSU rRNA
Rfam family: Bacterial small subunit ribosomal RNA
Source: RNAcentral